Molecule: ribosomal RNA, 301 nt
Filed under: uncultured bacterium
Lineage: Bacteria
Description: partial 16S ribosomal RNA
Rfam family: Bacterial small subunit ribosomal RNA
Source: RNAcentral
CAGCAGCCGCGGGAAUACGAACCGUGCGAACGUUAUUCGGAAUCACUGGGCUUAAAGCGCGUGUAGGCGGGCCGCCGCGUCGGCUGCUGAAAUCCCCCGGCUCAACCGGGGAACGGGCACCGAUACGGGCGGCCUCGAGGGGGGUAGGGGGGCCUGGAACUUCCGGUGGAGCGGUGAAAUGCGUUGAGAUCGGAAGGAACGCCCGUGGCGAAAGCGAGGCCCUGGACCCUUUCUGACGCUGAGACGCGAAAGCCAGGGGAGCGAACGGGAUUAGAUACCCCUGUAGUCCCUGUCUCUUAUU